UACUGGAAUUUGAACUAGUUCAAAUGGUGAAUUUUUGACCAAACAUGACAUGCAUAUGAAUCUAAUGGUAUAAGUUUUUAGAUCUACUCCGAUUUUGAUAGCUAUAUUACACAAUUUUAAGUCAUCAAAUUUUAAGGCUAAACGUAUAUAUCAACCCUUUUCUCUUGCAUAUUGUUGCAACAAGUUUUCGGACUGAUAUCGGUCAUUCACCAACAUG
Molecule: long non-coding RNA, 217 nt
Filed under: Elaeis guineensis (African oil palm)
Lineage: Eukaryota; Viridiplantae; Streptophyta; Magnoliopsida; Arecales; Arecaceae
Description: long non-coding RNA (EGUI_LNC026646)
Source: RNAcentral